CCUGGCUCAGGACGAACGCUGGCGGCGUGCUUAACACAUGCAAGUCGAACGCUGAAGCCUGGCUUUUGUUGGGUGGAUGAGUGGCGAACGGGUGAGUAACACGUGAGUAACCUGCCCUCUUCUUUGGGAUAACGCCCGGAAACGGGUGCUAAUACUGGAUAUUCACUGAUCUUCGCAUGGGGGUUGGUGGAAAGGUUUGUUCUGGUGGGGGAUGGGCUCGCGGCCUAUCAGCUUGUUGGUGGGGUGAUGGCCUACCAAGGCUUUGACGGGUAGCCGGCCUGAGAGGGUGACCGGUCACAUUGGGACUGAGAUACGGCCCAGACUCCUACGG
This 331-nucleotide ribosomal RNA is filed under the name uncultured bacterium. RNAcentral describes it as "bacterial SSU rRNA". It matches the Rfam family "Bacterial small subunit ribosomal RNA", at positions 18 to 344 of the family's 1533-position model. The record is from RNAcentral.